Molecule: long non-coding RNA, 553 nt
Organism: Cucumis melo (muskmelon)
Lineage: Eukaryota; Viridiplantae; Streptophyta; Magnoliopsida; Cucurbitales; Cucurbitaceae
Exons: 3
Source: RefSeq, a predicted model, not a curated record
GAGAGGAGGAGAAAAAGAAAGGAGAAGAAGAAGAAGUCGCCGCCGUUCAUAAUCCUUUUGUUCCGCCGCCGUCCGUCGCCGACCGCCCUCGCCGUUGUUCCUCGUCGCCGUCUGCCACUUUAGAAAUAGGAAAGGAAGAUGAAGUAUCGGGAAAUAUUGGUUCUGGUUCUAUGUUUGCUUGGGUUUGUUUUUGGAGCGGUGUUUGAUACAGUAGUCGGGGAAAUUGCAAUUAUUACGAACUGAACCAAGUUCCACAACAGGGCUGAUCAUAGUUGCGCCAGUUGAAGAUUCAAAAUCCACGUGUUGGGUGUUCUUGAUAUUGCUUGUAGAAUGAUUGAAGUCAUAUCAAACUGAAAGCUAAGCGAUUGUGUAGAAAGUCAGACGAUCGUUGAAGGUUUGAGAAGGCGUUUAAGAUUUCUUAUUUAAGUUUUGUAUUAGGAUCUUGUUUCAUGUACCGUUGUAGAAUAUAUAAACAUAAUAUAAGAUUCCAUUUUGUGUAUACAAAUGUAAAAGACAAAUAUUAUAGUUUCUAAAAUAAUAUUAAUUUUAUUGA